RNAcentral lists this transfer RNA (85 nucleotides) under Fluviicola sp. XM-24bin1. Its description in RNAcentral is "tRNA-Leu". It matches the Rfam family "tRNA". From Rfam's summary of the family: Transfer RNA (tRNA) molecules are approximately 80 nucleotides in length. The record is from RNAcentral. Lineage: Bacteria; Pseudomonadati; Bacteroidota; Flavobacteriia; Flavobacteriales; Crocinitomicaceae.
GCCUGGGUGGCGGAACUGGUAGACGCGCUGGAUUCAAAAUCCAGUUCCUUCGGGAGUGAGGGUUCGAUUCCCUCCCCAGGUACAA